Molecule: long non-coding RNA, 1524 nt
Filed under: Brassica napus (rape)
Lineage: Eukaryota; Viridiplantae; Streptophyta; Magnoliopsida; Brassicales; Brassicaceae
Description: long non-coding RNA (BNAP_LNC004797)
Source: RNAcentral
UUAGAAUUUGGGGUUUGGAAUGGAUAGAAGAGAUUGAGGUUAAAGGGAGGAUGGGGGUUGGGGUUUGGAAUAUAUGAAGUAGAAGAUAAGGAAGAUGGGAUUCGGGGUUUCGGAUUUCAGGGAUUUAAAUAUAAACGUAGUUAUUUCCUCGUAAAUUAACGAGGAGCUUACGACGAUUCUUAAAAAUAAAAAGGCGGCAGUCGUUAAUUCGACGUAAGCAGAAAUCGUCGUAAAGACCUCGUAAUAAAAAAACGAGGGCCUCGUUCAUUCCUCGUAAAAAUAAAAGCGGGCCUCGCUAAUUCCUCGUAAAUUAACGACGAUGUUACGAGGAAACAAAACACGGGCCUCGCUAAUUCCUCGUAAAUAAAAACACGGGCCUCACGAGUUCUUCGUAACUUUACGAGAAAUUUACGAUGUUUCAUAAUUUCCUAUAUAUACACGCGAGUUCUCACUUCCCAUUUCGUCUCAACUUCCUAUCCCUUUCGUAGCUAUGGUACACUCUAUUUUCUCUCUAAUUUGAUUAGUUUAGGUAGAUUAGGUGGUUAGUGUAGAGAAUUUAGAUAGUUUUCCGGAUUUUGUGUUAAUUAGUGUUGAUUAGGUGGUUAAUGUAGGGAAUUUAGUUAGAUUUAUAAAAUUUGUUAAUUACUGUUGAUGUUAAUUUUAGGCGAGUGAUCAUCCUACACACAUGCCGACGCGGAUGUAGAGAGGAGGAGUGAGGAAUUCUAUUGGGCGAUGAACGACCCUUAGUUUUUUUUCGUUGGUUGUAUUAUAAAUUCAAAAAUUAUUUAUGUAUAAAAUAUUUUCGUAUUUAAAAUUUCUUUUUUAAUUAGAUUUUUAUUAAAUAAUUAAAUAAAUUUAUUAUUUUUAAAAAAAUCUGGAAAAUAUAAAGUCGAAGCAAAUUCGUAGCUAAAUUACGACAACCUUACGUGGAAAUUUUACGAGGAAUUAACAAGUAAAAGAUUUACGUCAACACUACGAAGAAAGAUUAACGAGUAUUUGACGUGGAAACAUUUACGUGUUAUUUACGAGGAAAUGUUUUCGAGGUAUUUACGAGGAAAUGUAGUGUCCCCCUUACGUGGAAGGGUUACGUGGUUUUUACGACGAAUACUUUACUUCGUCUUUACGAAAAAAUGUUUUAUCGCUAGUUUACGACGAAUUAGCGAGGAAAUAUGCGUUACGACGAAUGAAUAACGACGAAACGUGUUUCCUCGCUAAUUCCUCGUAAAUAAAAACACGGGCCUCACGAGUUCUUCGUAACUUUACGAGAAAUUUACGAUGUUUCAUAAUUUCCUAUAUAUACACGCGAGUUCUCACUUCCCAUUUCGUCUCAACUUCCUAUCCCUUUCGUAGCUAUGGUACACUCUAUUUUCUCUCUAAUUUGAUUAGUUUAGGUAGAUUAGGUGGUUAGUGUAGAGAAUUUAGAUAGUUUUCCGGAUUUUGUGUUAAUUAGUGUUGAUUAGGUGGUUAAUGUAGGGAAUUUAGUUAGAUUUAUAAAAUUUGUUAAUUACUGUUGAUGUUAAUUUU